RNAcentral lists this ribosomal RNA (1380 nucleotides) under Haemophilus influenzae. RNAcentral describes it as "bacterial LSU rRNA". It matches the Rfam family "Bacterial large subunit ribosomal RNA", at positions 1190 to 2553 of the family's 2925-position model. The record is from RNAcentral. Lineage: Bacteria; Pseudomonadati; Pseudomonadota; Gammaproteobacteria; Pasteurellales; Pasteurellaceae.
AUUUUUGAAGUAAGGAUUAUUAGUGAUACGCCUGUUGGGUAGGGGAGCGUUGUGUAAGCGGAUGAAGGUUAAUCGAGAGGUUAGCUGGACGUAUCACAAGUGCGAAUGCUGACAUAAGUAACGAUAAAACGGGUGAAAAACCCGUUCGCCGGAAGACCAAGGGUUCCUGUCCAACGUUAAUCGGGGCAGGGUGAGUCGGCUCCUAAGGCGAGGCUGAAAAGCGUAGUCGAUGGGAAACAGGUUAAUAUUCCUGUACUUGGUAAAGCUGCGAUGUGGGGACGGAGUAGGUUAGGUUAUCGCACUGUUGGAUAUGUGCGUUUAAGUUGGUAGGUGGGAAGUUUAGGCAAAUCCGGACUUCCUUAACACAGAGAGAUGAUGACGAGGCUCUACGGAGCUGAAGUAACUGAUACCACACUUCCAGGAAAAGCCACUAAGCGAAAGGCUUUACUAAACCGUACUGAAAACCGACACAGGUGGUCAGGUAGAGAAUACUCAGGCGCUUGAGAGAACUCGGGUGAAGGAACUAGGCAAAAUAGCACCGUAACUUCGGGAGAAGGUGCGCCGGCGUAGAUUGUAGUCCCUAGCGGGCGAAGGUUGAACCGGUCGAAGAUACCAGCUGGCUGCAACUGUUUAUUAAAAACACAGCACUCUGCAAACACGAAAGUGGACGUAUAGGGUGUGAUGCCUGCCCGGUGCUGGAAGGUUAAUUGAUGGUGUCAUCGCAAGAGAAGCACCUGAUCGAAGCCCCAGUAAACGGCGGCCGUAACUAUAACGGUCCUAAGGUAGCGAAAUUCCUUGUCGGGUAAGUUCCGACCUGCACGAAUGGCAUAAUGAUGGCCAGGCUGUCUCCACCCGAGACUCAGUGAAAUUGAAAUCGCCGUGAAGAUGCGGUGUACCCGCGGCUAGACGGAAAGACCCCGUGAACCUUUACUAUAGCUUGACACUGAACAUUGAAUUUUGAUGUGUAGGAUAGGUGGGAGCCUUUGAAGCAGUGACGCCAGUCAUUGUGGAGGCGACCUUGAAAUACCACCCUUUAACGUUUGAUGUUCUAACGAAGAUGACGAAACGUGGUCUCGGACAGUGUCUGGUGGGUAGUUUGACUGGGGCGGUCUCCUCCCAAAGCGUAACGGAGGAGCACGAAGGUUUGCUAAUCACGGUCGGACAUCGUGAGGUUAGUGCAAUGGUAUAAGCAAGCUUAACUGCGAGACAGACAAGUCGAGCAGGUACGAAAGUAGGUCAUAGUGAUCCGGUGGUUCUGAAUGGAAGGGCCAUCGCUCAACGGAUAAAAGGUACUCCGGGGAUAACAGGCUGAUACCGCCCAAGAGUUCAUAUCGACGGCGGUGUUUGGCACCUCGAUGUCGGCUCAUCACAUCCUGGGGC